GCUAUGUUUAGUGACUACAUCUUGUGAGAAGUGAAAAAGCUCCUUUUAUGAGUUCUAGUAUGUGAAAAGGAGUGAGUUGAAUAAAUCUAUUCCUUGAAGAGGAGAUCCAGCAUUUCAAAAUGUAAUACCAUAGGAAACCUCAGGAGCCUCCUUGCCUCAGGCAGUCUCCUGGAGAUGUGGUGAUGGGCUGGGAUCUUGCAUCCGUAAUCAGCAGUUUCUGCUGCCUUGUCCUUAAGCUGAGCGUGGGCCGGUGCCUCCGCGGGGAUGCAGAGCUGGGAUCACUGGGAGGCGAAGCCCUGGCGCAGUUGGGUUCCCUGAAAUGUGAUGCGAUAGCGGGGUGAGAGGCUUCUCCCAGCAGCCGAGGAGAGUUGAGGUGAAAGAAACUUCAUCCAAAGGGUAGGUAACUGCUCUCCGUGAAACAAAACCAGCACCCAGAGAGACGGAGUCCACCCUGAGAAGCUGCUAAGCACCGAGGAACCCCCACCUGAUGCUGUCUCUGCAGCAUUUGCACAUCUCAUGCUCAGUCUGGAUGUGAUCCUUUACCAGCCAUUCACUGAAGUGCCAGAACACAUUAAAAAAAACACUGCUUCUUGCUCUCGGUUACACUGGCCUCUCCAGCAGCAUUUAAAAAAGGUUUCUGCCUAUCUGCGUAGGCAGAGGCAUCGUACCUUGCAUUUGCUUUGAGCUUGGUCUGGUGUGCGAAGGUGUUUUGUGAAAAAUACUUUGAGCAAGUAUGCUAUUCUCUUACCUGAUGAAAAAUAAUAAAAAAGUGAUUAAAUAAUUAAUACUGGAUGUUGCUUAACAGUUGCUAAGAGGCUUAAUAUUUUUCUGAAGAUUUUUUUCUUAAUUUAGGAAUAAAACAGACAUAAUUGAGCAUGCUAUUCUGAAGCUGCAAAUAACACUCCGAAGAGAAUCGAAGGAAACACAUUUCUUUGAUUAGAAUAUUUUUCUCAUUAACAGGUUGUUCAAAAUAAAGCAAAAAUAUUUGAAGCACAGAGCCUGUGGCAGUAUCAGGUUAACACUGGUGUGCUCCUGCAUUUUACUUCAUGUUUACUAAUCAAUCAAAAAAGACUCUUGCUGGCAAGAAAGGUCACGUCUUUCAUCACAAAACUGAAACUUUUUGACAACAAACGAUUAGAACUUCACUGUUCUGUUUAAAGCGGAUUUCAGUGCGGAAUGUGAAAGCCCAAGGUAGCAGGGUGCUGGGCACAGGGUCGGGUAAACAAGCAGAGCUGUGCUCUACAGAUGUUGGGAACCACAUACUCCGAGUAAGGGGACUGUCUCAGCUGUAUCAAGACAUGAUGGUGUUCUAAAACAGUGGUGUCUAAGUUCAAACUGUUUGGAGAAGAGAAUAAAUAAUAUUCGGGGAGGUAUUGGUGUGCAGUUUUGUCUCAGGUGUUAAUGUCAGGGUUAGGAUAGCUGUGCAUGUCUGGGUCAGGGUGCUGUAGGACCACCUAGCCUGCCGGGCAUGCAAGCAACAGCUACCUGCAGAGUGUUAAACCAUAUUCCUCCUCCGUUUUAUUUCAGGAUAGAAAUAAACCCCCUGCGCCUCUAUCAUGACCUCCUAGUUCUAUUCUUUCUCUGAAAACUUUUUUAAAGACCUGUAUCUUGAGGAAGUGAAUACUCCUGGCAGUUGGGAAAAAAAAAAAAAAAAAAAGUUUUCCCAGGUAGAAAAUACAGCCCGAAUAGUUUCACAAGCAAAAUAGAAGCAGCCUUGCUGUCCUUCCUCAGCUGGGUAAGGGAAUUGCUGCCUCCGUGGCAGCGGUCCCCACCCGUCUGUGGGUGCAGACGGGAGCGGGGCCGGGGGCAGAUGUGGCCAGAGCACGCUGCUCAGCGCCCGUCUUCACCCUCCCUUGGCUCUUCUGCAAGUUACAGUCCUGCCCUUGAAAGAACUGGGGUGAAAUCAGAGAAAUGAUCACAAAAUAUCACUGCUUUUGUUGUCUUUCCUUCCCCUCCACUGGUUGCACAGACAUCAGCCACUGAGGAGUCUCCCAGGAGGUGAGAAUAGCAGGAUGCAGACUUACCCCUGACCAGGAUUUACACCCUCUGUCUCCUGAAGGAGUCAUUGAUAUGAAAAGAUGCACACGUUGCCUGCAGCUAUAGCACAUAUUGCAUGGCAUGACACACACAUAAGUGAGAUUAAUUUGAGUUCUGGGCAUCAUUAGCUCAAUUAAAACUGUGAUUUUUUAGUUCAGACCUACAGGCCAUUGCGGAGAAGAGUAAUCAUAAGACAGAAACGAGUUCCCUAGUUAAAAAUUAAUUCCCUAGACUAAAAAUAUAAUCAAACGAUGUCUACAGUAUUUUAUGAAGAGCUGGGAGGAUAAUAAAAUUUAAAGCAGUGCAA
This is a long non-coding RNA of Tyto alba (common barn owl), 2344 nucleotides long. RefSeq lists it as uncharacterized. The transcript is spliced from 2 exons. The record is from RefSeq and is a predicted model, not a curated record. Lineage: Eukaryota; Metazoa; Chordata; Aves; Strigiformes; Tytonidae.